AUUGAACGCUGGCGGAAUGCUUUACACACGCAAGUCGAACGGUAGAGGGGGCAACCCCUUGAGAGUGGCGAACGGGUGAGUAAUAUAUCGGAACGUGCCCAGUCGUGGGGGAUAACGUAGCGAAAGCUACGCUAAUACCGCAUACGAUCUAUGGAUGAAAGCGGGGGAUCGCAAGACCUCGCGCGAUUGGAGCGGCCGAUAUCAGAUUAGGUAGUUGGUGAGGUAAAGGCUCACCAAGCCGACGAUCUGUAGCUGGUCUGAGAGGACGACCAGCCACACUGGGACUGAGACACGGCCCAGACUCCUACGGGAGGCAGCAGUGGGGAAUUUUGGACAAUGGGCGCAAGCCUGAUCCAGCAAUGCCGCGUGCAGGAUGAAGGCC
RNAcentral lists this ribosomal RNA (382 nucleotides) under uncultured bacterium. Its description in RNAcentral is "bacterial SSU rRNA". It matches the Rfam family "Bacterial small subunit ribosomal RNA", at positions 30 to 416 of the family's 1533-position model. The record is from RNAcentral.